ACCCAUCCAUGAUUGUUAUAGAAGUCUUCAUGAGAACGAGAUCAAAUAGAAUAUGUUUGUUUCUAUUCCGCGUGAGCCACUUAUUUCUCUGAAACAAGAGAUCAAAGUUAUUUUCCUCUUUUUUCCCAAUAAGUCGACAGCCUUGCA
This is a long non-coding RNA of Hibiscus syriacus, 147 nucleotides long. RefSeq lists it as uncharacterized. The transcript has 3 exons. The record is from RefSeq and is a predicted model, not a curated record. Lineage: Eukaryota; Viridiplantae; Streptophyta; Magnoliopsida; Malvales; Malvaceae.